CUCCGCAGAGAUGAUUUAUACAGCAUCUUGUACAUUACACACAAAUAUAGCAGUUAAAUAUUCGAUAUGAUUCCUCGCUGAAAGCAUCAAUUUAAUUUGCAGAAUAACAGGUUUAGAAUAAAAAAAUCUUUAUUUGCUAGAAUGCAAUAGACACGUGACUAGAAUUCGAUUUUCUUCUUCAUUAGUUCGUACACCUCAGCAGUGGUUGUUUAACUCUGUCACUAGUUAUUGUAUGGUAGUGCUAAAACAUCCAUAAUGUGAAAAAAUAUCAAUACACAACUUGUGAUUUUCUUUGAUGGUUUAUAAAUAUGAUGCACUUAUGUUCGAUAUUUGAAUACUGGAUAAUUUGUGGUUGAUUUAAAAUCCGUUAAAAGACCUUGAUUAAUGACGACAUGAAGAUUUUUAACUGGUGACAUAUUUGCCGUAUAAAUCAUCUAAUUGUGGUAAGGUUUAUUCCGUCUCGUGAAAUGUGAACAGAUUCUAUCUAAUGAUAACCAGGUUGGUACAAAGAAUAGCAAAGAAAUGAAAUGGGUUUAUCAUGAUUACUUUAUCAAAAUGAUUUGGUUGUGGACGCCAUUGUUUGCCAAUUUAACAAAAGUCAAUUCAACACGGAGUAACAAUGUCAAGUAUGACGUAAUGAACGACCAAUCAAUGGACGAUUCAAUUAUGACGUUACCAACACAACCAUCCAAUUACGAUCAUCUGUUGAAAGUUCGUCUUCUUGCGCUAACAACGUCUUCCAUCGCAAUAGAGUGGAAUUAUGAAGAGACUGUUUUUCGUAAUAAAACGUUGCUUGGAUCAAAAGUGGAAUAUUUUAUAAAUAGUGGUAAAUUCUCUUCCGAUAUGUUACAACCGCAUAUACAUUCUUUUACGUGUGACCAUUUAAAAGUUGCAACAAAAUACACCAUUUGCAUUUCUGUGUAUUUAAGUGAGCUUGUUUAUUUAAAAGAGGAUGAUUCAAUUGUUCUAUCAAAAUGUUUUGGAGCUGAAACUAUACCAUACAUUCGUAAUGAUUCUAUUCUAGUUCUUAUUAUUUUACUGUCGUACUAUUUAUUUAUGGGAAUGAUAGGCGUUUGUCAAUGGAAAAGGAAGUGUCGUAUGCAGAAUUCUAAAAAUAGACGAAUUGAGAUCGUGCAUAAUACCGAAAAUAAUGUAAACAGUAAUUCGACUAUGCGAUUCCGUGAAUUGGAGGAGCGACAACGAUUGACCAAUCCAGUAUGUUCUAUUGAAGAAUCACGCAUUUGAAAUAGUGCUUCGUUAAUAUCUCCUCAGGGUAAACCAGCUUACAAGUCAUAAGAAAAAGUUUCAAAAUGUCGUGUCAUAAUGCCAUUCGAAAAGCCAUUUGUAUACGAUUUUUGACGUGGGAACAUACACAAUGUGGUAUUUAAUGUGGAUGUACUAUUCGUCGUCCAUUUAAUUUGGAAACGCAAGUGAAGAUUUUAGAAAUAUACAAAUAUUGACGUUUUUGUAUUGGACUAUAUGCUCAAGAAAUCCAAGAUAAUUUAUAUGAAUUCUUUUUUUAAACUUCAACAGAAAAUAUUUCAAUUUUAAAUAUCGAUAACUGGCUCGUUUUCAUAUAAAUAAGGCCAGCUUAAGAUGUACUACUUUGGUAAGUCAAUGAUAUUUUGUGUGCAGUUUGUAAUUAGUAUAAGAAAUCGUAUUAUCAUGGAGAAUAUUUCAUCUUGUACGUCUAGUCUUGUUUCAUUGGCUUUGAGAGUUUGUAUCAUUUACACGACAAAGUUUGCAAUUUAAAUUUUAACAUUUGUAUUAUAGAUCAAAAUUCGAUACAGGUGAGGCAAAGCUAUGGGUCAACAUUUUAUUAGUACAAAAAAAUAAUAGAACAAAACAACUUUCGACACGUUUUAUUGUUUCCGUUAUUCAUUAAUGAAAUAUUAGUAUGAUGUACUCACUUUUUCUUAGAAUCAUAUAAAAUUUGGAUAAUUUAUUGUUAACAAGCUUGAAUUUCUUUUAUUGAGAUGAUACAAAUAUGAUUCAUUGACCAUUUUAAGUAUUCAAGAUUGAUUCAUUUCAUUUAAAAAAAAAACUCGUUUAUGUGGGGAUCAAAUGCCAUUGUUAACACAAAAAACCAACAAUGGUUAUGUAUUUGAAAAAAGGGAGACAUGAGUUCAAGUUUUAAAUGUCCUACUAAUGUAUAGACUACAUUUACCUUGGGUUCUUACUCGAAUGUAAAAUGAAUAAAUGUGAUCAAUGCAUUAGACCGUUGGUUUCCCGUUUGAAUGGGUUUACACAAGUAAUCUGGGGCCCUUUAUAGCUUGUUGUUCGGUGUGAGCCAAUGCUCCGGGUUGAGGAUGACAGAUCCAAUAGUCAAUGAACAUGAUAAUACCAUCAGCGGCAUAUAUGACAAUCAUCAGGCAGAUAAAUAUAUAUAUAUAUUACAUCAUAGAACAAUAAUUUAAUUUUGGAUGUAACGCGUCUUUUGAUUGGCUGACGUUAUUUUGUAAUCAGCCCAUAGACAUAAUAUAGUCAUGUGACCGUGACCUCAUCAAAGUUUUUUCAUGGUUUUCUACGGUUUAAAAUGGAAUUAAGAAUUAAAUUAUAAGAAAUGACUGUAAUAUUUUUUCUAUCUAUUCGCAAAAACAAUAAAAAUGGACUGCACACUGUUAAAUAACCAGUGUGCACUAUUUUUUUAUGUUAUUUCUUCAUAGACAGAAAAAAUAUUACAGUCAUUCCUUAAAUAAACAAUGUACUAAUAUUUUUAUAUUGUCUAUAAUCUAUAGGUGUUGUUGUCUCUUACAUAUUAUUAAA
This is a long non-coding RNA of Mytilus trossulus (common blue mussel), 2766 nucleotides long. RefSeq lists it as uncharacterized. The transcript is spliced from 4 exons. The record is from RefSeq and is a predicted model, not a curated record. Lineage: Eukaryota; Metazoa; Mollusca; Bivalvia; Mytilida; Mytilidae.